Molecule: long non-coding RNA, 1598 nt
Organism: Symphalangus syndactylus (siamang)
Lineage: Eukaryota; Metazoa; Chordata; Mammalia; Primates; Hylobatidae
Source: RefSeq, a predicted model, not a curated record
UGACCAGCAAGAUCAUUGCCUCUCCUUGGUUAACCCUAACCGUACACUCAUCAGCACGAUCGUUGCCUCUCACGGGUUAACCCUAACCGUACACUCAUCAGCACGAUCGUUGCCUCUCCUUGGUUAACCCUAACCGUACACUCAUCAGCACGAUCCUUGCCUCUCCUUGGUUAACCCUAACCGUACACUCAUCAGCACGAUCGUUGCCUCUCCCUGGUUAACCCUAACCGUACACUUAUCAGCACGAUCCUUGCCUCUCCUUGGUUAACCCUAACCGUACACUCAUCAGCACGAUCGUUACCUCUCACAGGUUAACCCUAACCGUACACUCAUCAGCACGAUCCUUGCCUCUCCUUGGUUAACCCUAACCGUACACUCAUCAGCACGAUCGUUACCUCUCACAGGUUAACCCUAACCGUACACUCAUCAGCACGAUCGUUGCCUCUCACUGGUUAACCCUAACCGUACACUCAUCAGCACCAUCGUUGCCUCUCACUGGUUAACCCUAACCGUACACUCACCAGCACCAUCGUUGCCUCUCAUUGGUUAACCCUAACCGUACACUCAUCAGCAUGAUCAGUUGCCUCUCAUGUCAUUAAUGGACCAACAGGAAAUGCUGCUGAGGUCUGUGUCCGGAAAAGACCUAGAAGCUUGACAAACCAGUUGCUAAAACAGAUGGUGAUCUCAAUAAAGUCGAUCAGAGAAAUGGGGUCAUUCUUGCCACACCCAACUAAAACAGUCAGAGCCCGGGAAGAAAGUACUCAGGACACAAAAUGUUGCUCCAAAAUGUAAUUCUCUUCAAGCCUGGCAGCGAAAACUGCUGCUGUAACCUGAAUCCAGUCCCAUCCAUGGCUGCUGAGAGACACCCGACAGCCCCAGAGGACAAACUUCCCCGCCCCCACUGCCGCCUCUGCUGCCGCAAACGCCGCGGACCCUGCCAGCGCCCCAGAGCUUUACCAACAGCAGGGAACUUUCUUCAAGACCUUCCUCCUUCUUAUCAAACCCCAAAUCUUCUCUUUGUUCAAAGACACGCAGUUUGUGUGUAUGCCCCUGUGAAACUGAAUGAAUCAAACAUUAAGCCUUUGAAAUUGUGAAUUAUCCUGAGCCUUGAAGGGAAUGUGGCUAUGCAGCCUAGGUCAUGCCACACGCGGCUGCAACUUCUGCCUUUUUCCCUGUAAACAAUAAAGACCAAAUGGCACCGGAGAUAAGACCCCCUCAGAUCACUAACCCUCCUCAUGGAGUCAUAACGCAAUCUUCCUUCAAAUACAGAGAUCCCUAACCAAUGGAACCACUGCGGCGUGUGCCCCUGGUCUCAUAUGAGAACUGUGGUGAUCCUGCUGGAGCUUCUGUCUCUGCCUGGAGAGACCAGAGACCAGACUUCCCUGCUUCCCAUUACUGAUCUUUGCUGUGGACCAGCCGCCUCCUUCAUUGUCCUGUGCAUCUGUCCUAACUCAGACUAGAUGGCACGACGACCCCGUGACAUACUCCGUGUGGAACGCCAAACAUACCUUUCCCAAUAGGAAAAGAGCACCUUGGCUAAUCAGAGCACAGUAAGUGUGCACUCACCCUCAGAGAGAAAGAUGCUGGAAUUGUGUUAA